UACGGGGGGAGCAAGCGUUGUUCGGAUUUACUGGGCGUAAAGCGCGCGUAGGCGGCUUUGUAAGUUAGAGGUGAAAGCCCGGAGCUCAACUCCGGAACUGCCUUUAAGACUGCAUCGCUAGAAUUGUGGAGAGGUGAGUGGAAUUCCGAGUGUAGAGGUGAAAUUCGUAGAUAUUCGGAAGAACACCAGUGGCGAAGGCGGCUCACUGGCCCGUUACCGACGCUCAGGCGCGACAGCGUGGGGAGCAAACGGG
RNAcentral lists this ribosomal RNA (253 nucleotides) under uncultured bacterium. Its description in RNAcentral is "partial 16S ribosomal RNA". It matches the Rfam family "Bacterial small subunit ribosomal RNA", at positions 524 to 776 of the family's 1533-position model. The record is from RNAcentral.